Molecule: ribosomal RNA, 573 nt
Filed under: Alteromonas macleodii
Lineage: Bacteria; Pseudomonadati; Pseudomonadota; Gammaproteobacteria; Alteromonadales; Alteromonadaceae
Description: bacterial SSU rRNA
Rfam family: Bacterial small subunit ribosomal RNA
Source: RNAcentral
AUGACGAGUGGCGGACGGGUGAGUAAUGCUUGGGAACUUGCCUUUGCGAGGGGGAUAACAGUUGGAAACGACUGCUAAUACCGCAUAAUGUCUUCGGACCAAACGGGGCUUCGGCUCCGGCGCAAAGAGAGGCCCAAGUGAGAUUAGCUAGUUGGUAAGGUAACGGCUUACCAAGGCGACGAUCUCUAGCUGUUCUGAGAGGAAGAUCAGCCACACUGGGACUGAGACACGGCCCAGACUCCUACGGGAGGCAGCAGUGGGGAAUAUUGCACAAUGGGGGAAACCCUGAUGCAGCCAUGCCGCGUGUGUGAAGAAGGCCUUCGGGUUGUAAAGCACUUUCAGUUGUGAGGAAAAGUUAGUAGUUAAUACCUGCUAGCCGUGACGUUAACAACAGAAGAAGCACCGGCUAACUCCGUGCCAGCAGCCGCGGUAAUACGGAGGGUGCGAGCGUUAAUCGGAAUUACUGGGCGUAAAGCGCACGCAGGCGGUUUGUUAAGCUAGAUGUGAAAGCCCCGGGCUCAACCUGGGAUGGUCAUUUAGAACUGGCAGACUAGAGUCUUGGAGAGGGGGAGU